GGCUCCAUCUGGUGAAGGCAAGAACCAGUGAGGGACCAUGUAUAUUGCAUUCAAGAAGAAGAUGGUGGGAGAUAUCUCUUCCACCAAGCGGAAGGUCUUUACCAUGGCUCUAUCCUCAGUUCUUCAAGCAACAUUUGGAGGACUCCUAGGCUACCAACCAAAAGGAAAACAGGAGGAAUCAAUGCAAUACACAGAAAACAAUUUCACUUUUCCUCAAGGCAACUGUUCAUCAUGGCACAAAUCCCUUGUUCAGGCCAAGCUGGGGAGGAGGAAAUGAAAGCAAAAAGGCAAAUAAGCCCAAUGAAGGAGGAUUGCUCACCUACAGUUUGGCAGGUCUGGGCUGCAGAUCUUGGCUGUCAUUCUUAGCUCAGGAACAAUAUGAAGAACCAGAGCACAAUGUUGUAAAUCCAACCAUCAAGACUUUAACCUGGGAAGCAGCUGCAUGGUAUCUUUUUGAUGCUUUGGGGAGUUCAAGAUUCUCUUUGCAAGGAACAAAUUUUGCAGAGAAUAACCAAAGUUGUCUAAGGGCAACACAGUGACUAUGUCUCCUAAAAAUAAAAAGAAUUGUGUCUAUAAAAGAGAUGGCUGUUUAAAUGGGGAAGUUUAUUUGCAUAUAAAAAGGCAUUUAAGUAAAAAGGUGUGUUCAGACUUGGCUCUGCCUCUCUAAGCAUCAGAAGCCCAGAAUACCUUGCACUGGGGCACAUUGCCCUUGGAUACAGAGCCCUAAGAGAGCAAGGCUUUAGGCCCUUACCUGGGUCACUGCUCCUGUGUUCCAUAGCAGCACUUCUCACACUCGAAUGCACACAUGCAUCUCCCCCAAAUCUUGCUAAAUUGCAGAUUCUGAUCAUGGAACUCUGGAGCAGGGCCCAGGAGGGGUUCUGAAUUCUGACAAGUUGAUGGGUUUCCUUGAUGUUUUGAUUCAUGAACCAUAUUUUGGGUAAUAAGGUCCUAGAGAAUGCCACUGAGUAUGGAUGGAGGACAAGUGAUAGAAGUCUGUUUUACCAGUAGCAUUGCAUUAUCCUUGAAGGAAAUCAGGCACGUGGCAAGUAGGUUGGGAGUCAGGUGAGCCCAGGUCUGGAUCCUUGGGAAUCUCAAGGCAGAGAGGAGGAGGAGGCUCUGGUGGAAGCAUCAGGGUGGUCCUUUCUCUUUCUGUAUUGUCAGAAUGGGAUCAGACAGGAAUGUAUCAGGACUUAGGUAAAGAGAAAUUUCACUAAAUAAAUGUCCUGUAGGGCAAUAAAGCUGUAAUAAUUGGGAUUAUUUUUCUACAUCUAUACAAGAUCUCCAAAAUACUGUGCAAUUUCACUGGAAGAGACCACAGUACUGCAAUAAGGGAGGGAGACGACUGCUAUCUGGAACAAAGCUCAGACGUGGGAUCUACAAGACUUUCCUAGGUCAGAUUGGCAGAAAGGAAUUUUCUUUGACAGGGAGGAGUAGGCUAAGCUAGGGAGAACCAUUGUGGGAAAGGGAUGGACAGAUGGCAGUGAUAAGACAGUUGAGCAGGAAAUGGCCAGACAGUUCCUCUCCUCCCUUCCCUUCCUCUGGCAGAAACCUCCAGAAGGGGCUGUCCACAAUGUGCUGCUGUUGCAAAUUGAGGGAAAGAAAGAAACUCACCUCAUAUUUGAUUAUUCAAAUCUGCAGGAGUUUUGUCUAAAUUGGCCACGGAGACAAGUGUCUGUGUCUGAGCUUGUCACAGGGAAACAGGAGACCUCAGUGUGUCUUAUCCAAGCUGCAUGGGAAGGGUUUUUGGUUGGUUGGUUUGCAGUACACUGUCUCCAGGAGUGAAAGGGUGGGGAGGGGAUUUCUUAACUGUCAUUGCUCUCCAUGGACACAGGCUCUGGUAAAGGUUAGCACUGUCUCUGCCUGACACGUGGGCUGCGUCUUUAUAAUUUGUCAUUCCUGUCCGAGUGCAGUUUCCUAAAAAUUAAAAACAAGACUCCUGCAAAGAGAAAAUGAAUGUUAAGGAUUAGCUGCCUAUUAGUAAGAAACUCAGUGCAAAAUCUUAAUUGAAAGGAAAUAGAGGAAUAGGAUUUCAACACUCCCCCAAAAAAAUCUUGACAUAAGUGUGCUGUUGGAGACAGCACUGACUAAUUAAUGUCCUGUAGGGCAAUAAAGCUGUAAUAGUUGGGAUUAUUUUUCUACAUCUAUACAAGAUCUCCAAAAUACUGUGCAAUUAAUUUCACAGUACCUAACCUCAAGUAAUAGUAAGUAAAAGAUCAAAUGUAGGUGCAUCCUUCAAGAUAAUUAAAUAGUCCCUGGGGGUCUUGUUAAACCUUGCCCAUGUGGUAGUAAAAAGUCAUGCUGCUCACUUUUUGGUUUUAUAUCUAUAUUUUAAAUGUUUUUUUUUUUCAUAACAUCCUCCAAAUUCGUAGAAAAUUGUAUGAACUGACUGGUUCAAAGCAUAUCUGAUCAAGCAUUAUUCCAGAAAAGUAAUCAAGGAGAACAGAAUUUAAGGGCUAUUCUUUUUAUAAUCAUUGGCAGGAGAAAGUUAAUGUUAUUUUGUUGUUUGAUUCCCCUGGAUUUUCCAUAAGAAAUAUUUUGGGAAACCUUAAAAUAUGAAGGUGGUGGAAAAGAGCCUGUUUCUAUUAACAUCACUCCACAGACUAAAAACAGUGCAGCAAGUUUCAAAACAAAAAUAUUUUUCUGAGGGCUGAACAAUACACUCUGUCAGUCACCCAGUGUGUGAAGGCUCUAUGGCAAGGUACGGCCAAGUGGACUAUUAUUAGUUCUCCCAUGACCCCAAAGCCCUUGUUUGCACACCCAGAUGGGGCCACACUUCCUAAAACCAUCAAGACCCACUUUAAUUAUUCUGUUAAUAGAAACUUGUUGUGAGCCCAGUUACUUCUUGAGUCCAAUUUUUUUUUUUUUUUGCUUCCAAUCUCUGUUAAUUCAGUUAAAUAUCACGUAGCUGGAGGAAUCCAGCAAUUUUGUUAACAAAAAUAAGCUGACUUAUCAGGUUUUAACAAUCAUACUGGAAAACAGGAAUCAUUUAGUAAUCUUUUCAGCUCAAACAUCAACAAUAAUGUGAUGUUUGCUCUCAGCAAACCCUUCAGUGUUAUAAAUAAUUUAAGUGCCCACGUUAUUAAAUAUGGAGAAGGUGUUUUAUUGGAAUCCUUGUGAGACAUUCAUGGUCCCUGAGUAACUGAGCUCAAUAUUCCAGUAGGUAUGGAACAUGUUCACAUAGGAUCAUAUCACCAAAGGAGGAUAAAGCAGGCAAAGGAGGGUAGAGAACACAGGCUUUGCAUAGGAGAAGU
Long non-coding RNA from Marmota monax (woodchuck), 3251 nucleotides. RefSeq lists it as uncharacterized. NCBI's taxonomy places the organism in Eukaryota, Metazoa, Chordata, Mammalia, Rodentia, Sciuridae. The record is from RefSeq and is a predicted model, not a curated record. The transcript has 3 exons.